Molecule: ribosomal RNA, 253 nt
Filed under: uncultured bacterium
Lineage: Bacteria
Description: partial 16S ribosomal RNA
Rfam family: Bacterial small subunit ribosomal RNA
Source: RNAcentral
UACGUAGGGCGCAAGCGUUGUCCGGAAUUAUUGGGCGUAAAGAGCUCGUAGGCGGUCCGUCACGUCUGCCGUGAAAACCCGAGGCUUAACCUCGGGCCUGCGGUGGAUACGGGCGGACUAAAGGUAGGUAGGGGAGAAUGGAAUUCCCGGUGUAGCGGUGAAAUGCGCAGAUAUCGGGAGGAACACCGGUGGCGAAGGCGGUUCUCUGGGCCUUACCUGACGCUGAGGAGCGAAAGCGUGGGGAGCGAACAGG